Molecule: long non-coding RNA, 2423 nt
Organism: Dromaius novaehollandiae (emu)
Lineage: Eukaryota; Metazoa; Chordata; Aves; Casuariiformes; Dromaiidae
Exons: 3
Source: RefSeq, a predicted model, not a curated record
UGUGGCUAUACAUUUUGCCAAAAUAUAGGAUUUUGCUGCAAAGAAUAUCACACUUGGGUCUGUGAAGCAGGUAAUUGCUUGCUGCAGGGGGGCAAUAAAUCACCUAGUGGCACUGCUCUCUUGUUUUGUUCCUGGCAUCCUUCAAUAUAGUGAGGACUGUGAAAUUUAUCCCCUCACACUGCUAAGCAGCCAGGGAGUCCUGCUAUGGCUGUCACUGCGCCCUCCCUGCAGAUCUGCUGACUUGUGUUAACUGUGCCCAAAUAAUACAGCUUUUGUCUUGUUUUCCCAGGCGGCAACUGGUGUGGAGCCAAUCAUGAUGCUCCCUCUGCAGAGAGGAUGCGUAUAAACCAACCUUGAAAGUGUGCUUGACACGCUAAAGGGUAUCUUAUGGCUUGGGAAACUUGAGAUUGAGCUCUUGCCACAACACAGUUUUCUUGCAGGAUGGGGGAAAUUUUUUAAUCCUCCUUGGAUUUCAAUUCCCCAGCAAUGAACUACAAUACAGAACAAAGACAGGUUGCCAUUCACAGAAGUGCAUUCAGUACAGAAAGUGAUCUGCAGCUCAACAAAAAUCUCUUUUUCGGUAUAGAGCCACAGUCAGAACAGCACUCAAGAUGUUACCGCGCAGGAGGUCACUAAUGUAAGAAGGUGCGUGAUGCUUCUGUGUAAAAGUGUUGCAGCUAUAAGAAGUACUCCUCUCAAAGAUAGUACCGCAUGACUAGAAGAGGUUUGCAGAAAGAUGAGAGCAGUCCUGGGUCUAGAGAAAUUAAUCUGAAGAGCAACUGGAAAUACUGAGCUUGUUUAGGAGUUUAACGUGAUGGACAGAAAGACCAACAUCUACUUUUUCCGGCUCAUAACACUGUGACAAGGAGACAAUCGCCAGAAAGAAGCAAGGAGAAUCAAAAUUGGUGCUUUUUUAUACAACACAAAUAGACUGUGGAACUUGCUGGUGCUGCUGAUGGCAAGAAUUUAGCAAGAGAGAAAAGUUUCAUGGCUGGACCAAGAACGAUGCUGCUCUCAGCUGUAUUCCUGCUAAACUAACUGGAUGAUGCACCACGCACUUGUGAAGAAAAAUCAUACUCCUUGUAAUCGAAGAGGACUGAAGGAUGACACGCUGGAAACCUUGGGAGCGGCUAUUCAGAUUCACAGAUGCGGAUAGGUCCACUAGACUGUUUUUUGGAGCUGGGGUCCAAAGUUUUCUUGAUGCAAGUCCCCUGAUAUCAUAAGAUAUUAUGGCCUGGUAUUUUACAGUUGGGUUCUCCCCUUCCAUGUUAUUUUCUGUUUGUAUGACUUAUAAUAAACUUCUUUUUAGUAUGCAGAAAGAAAAUAAGUAAGAGAACCAAAUCUUCCACUUAUACUUCACAAUUUUUAUGCACAGCUCCCUGUCUCAACUACAGGUAGGAAUGGGCAAUGGGCUGAGAGAGUGGUAAGAGCUGCCAAAUUCCAGCGUGCAUCAUCCUCAGAUAGGGAACACAAAAAUGGAGACCCUAAACCAGGCCUAAAACAAGCACAGCCAGACAGCAAAGAGCUUCUGGAGUGUCUGUGUGGAUACUUGGGACAAAUGCCUGGUUGCUCCAUUGUUGAGAAAAAUCUUCCAUUGUCCUCUGCCCUGGAAGAAGCUGGUUGAAGUCCACCACUUGUCAUUUUGGCCUUUUACCAUAAAAUAGAGUUGAAGCAGAAUGCAUUUUUUUCCCCUUCUUCUCCCUUGUAUGUUUCCUUUCUUAUGGAGAAAUAAAAACAAAAAGUGUUACUUCCUUACCUUUAUAAGCUGAAAGAAACAUAGGCACUGAUUUCCUAUUCUUAUUCUCUCACUCCCUCAAAUGUGUCCAUUCCUCACACCCAUAGAAUAACUUGCGCUCCACAGUUCAUUUUUGCCUCUAAAAUUUCCUGCCACACUAACAAUACUGAAAACAUAGCCUUUUGGAAGAGAUCUAUCCUUUGAUAUUAUCUUGAGGGAGUGGAAUAUAACUUUAAAUGCAGCUUCCAUAACAGUGUAGCUGUGGUGCUAAUGGUGGGGUGUGCCUGUUUUCUCCUCUCCUGCCCAGCUUAACCAGCUCAAUUACAUGGCAUGGCCAAGUCACACCCCUGGGUGAACAAUGCUGCUGUUCCUGCACUGCAUUAUUUUUAUGUGAUAUUUAUGCUGAACUGCCCCUCUGCUUGCGUAGUGUGGACUGACUAAAACAAAUCCUGUUGCUGAAGAAUGAAAAACAGGCUUCUAUCAUUGCACUGAAUAGGAGACCUACAUGAAAGAGGAAAUUAGAUGAAUCAAUGAUUGGUACUUUUCUGCUGACUCAGAACUGGAGCAAAGCCCCAUGUGCUUCAACAAAAUCAGAAGGAAUGCAAGAUAAAACCCUGAGAAUUUGUGGUUGAAAAACAAUGGUGCUGUUUUCAUUCAUAUGUGGUCACAUAUUAAUAAUAAAUGGAAC